GCUUUUUAACUUUAUUUUUAUUUUAUUUUACUUCUGGUUAUACACAGAAAUACAGGAUUUGGUUUUAUUUCUGUUCAAAAAGCAAGCCUCUUCUCUGGGGUCUGUGUUUCAGGGAGGGCACCUGAAAGUUAGCAGUCAAAUCAUCACUUAGCAAGUAUUCAUUGACCAUGACCUCUUCUAACUAGGAGGAAUUGAGCCCUUCCAGCUUCAAACCCAAGGGGUCUGCUAAAGACAGCAGGUAAUCAGGAUUUAGAAAAUUUUCCAUUCUUUUUUUCCCUGACAAGACAGCAAGCUGAGGAGAUUUUGAGAAGUGAGACAGGAAAGAAAACUGAGUGGGUUUGAAGAUACUUCAGAGAAAACAUUCGAGAAGAUGAUUUGAGAGCAUACCAUUUAUAUAUUAAAUUAUUAAACAUAGGACCUUUAUCCAUGUAACUAUUUGCAUUUUAUAAAAGCACUCUCCCAUACAUAAUCUCAUUUGAUCCCCACAAAAGCCUCUAAGGCAGAAGAAACUGAUGAGAUCACCCCGAUUUACCACUCGGGAAAGUAAAGUGAAAUGGCCAACCCUCAGUUAUCAAACUUACGAAAAUGGAGACUUAAACUUGACUUGGGUCUCUUACUUGAGAACCAGGGCUUUUCCCACUUCACUGGGCAGUUUGGGGGCACAAGAUGUGGCACCAAACCUGUUCUUAAACAUUUACAAAAAAAUGCAUCAACCCCAGUUGCAAGGAAUUCCUUGGUAAGCAGUGUGUUGCAUCACAGCAAAUACAGUUUGGGAGCUGACAGAACAAAAUCAGCAUCUGAGGGAACUAGUUAGAAGAUAUACGAGGUAGCCCCCCAAGGUUAAAACUACAGGAAACCUAAUAUAACUCCCUCAUGUUUAUGACACAAGCAAGUGCCAAAGAAGUUAAGUUCCUGGUCCAAAGCCACAGAAAACCCCAAAACUCAGCCUGGGACAUGUCUCCUGACUCAGACCAGAGCUCCACCUCACAUAACCCACUGCCCCUUGCUCCAAAUUGUGUUAACUAUAUGCCACUUUCCCCAAGGACUGUGUCCCUGAAAUGCUUCCUUGUAAAUUUCUAUAAUUCAAAUACGACCUUUUCAUUGACUUCUUUGACGAAAUGGCAAAUCAAUCCUGUUAGCAGAUAACUUGCUGAAUUCAAUAUGGUAGAAAUCAGCAGAUAAAUUAUGGCUAACAUCCAAAUAACGCAAAACUACUCACUAGGACAAGUCAGGAGCAUUACUUCCAUGUUGAUUUUUUUAUUAUUAGAAAAUAUGAAAGCUUCAUGGAAUAAGGAUAUUUUCCCCAUCAUAUUUUAAAAGAUUAACUCAUUCAACUAAUAUUUAUUAACAUGCCAGGCACUACUCAAGGCUCCAGAAACACAAGAGUGAUCAAAGCAGUUUAAAAAAAAUCACUGCCCUCAUGCAAUCACUUGUGCUUACAUUCUAGCAGGAAUCACAUAUUUUAUUAUUUUUUUGUUUUCCUAAAUUAAUUCAAGUUAAGAAAUGCCUGCAAGGCACUGUGAAAAGUACAAAAUCCAUAGUCUCUGCCCUUUAAGAACAUAAAGUAUUUGCAGGAAAACAGACGUACAGACACUCAUAAAAAUAAUUAUGAAUAAAAGGUAUAUGAUCGAGUCACAAAAGUUAAGUCUCAAAAUAAAUCCUGAAAAUAAUUCAGAGGAAGAGAAAUCAGAGGGCAAGGUUUGGAAGCAAAAGGCUUGUCGAGGGAAGAGAGGGGAGUCCAGUGGGGAAAAGGCAUGGCCAGAGAACAUGAUCCAGAAAGAGCUGGCUUGUUUGGGGGACAGUGCAGAUGCUACCCACCUGGGCCACAGUGGUAAGAAUUGCCUGCAUUCCUCGAAAGCCUGACUGAGACGCUGUAGAUUCAAGCCUAUAAAAAUCAAAGCUACCAAGACUUUCAAGCAAGAGACUAACACACAAGUGGAGUCUUCCGGCAGAACACAGGGUAGGUUGUAGAAAACAAACUAGAGUCCACGUGUUCACUCAUCAACAGGUGCUGCACACAGUGUGCUAAGUGCUUGUGAGGAACCAAUGUGAUGGCCACCUCCGCUAUGGAAACAGACUUGGGGCAAACAAACAUCACGCUUGGUGAUGAGAACCAUGAGUGAAUUAACAGGACGCACAGACAGAGCUUCACAGGGAGGCCCUGUCAGACAGGAAAACCUCUAAGGAGGCGGUGGUCUUGCUGGACCCAGAGGAAGGGUGAGACAGCCCAAGUCUCAGAGAGAGGAAGGAAAAGCGUCCAGAACGAGAAAGCAGACUGUGAGGUCUGAGGCAGGGACAAGAGGUGAUCCCAGGCCCCAGGGCAGCGCACCAUGCUGGAGACAAGGGUUGUGGAGAGGCGGAUCAGGUCAGAACUAAGAGGACAUUACAGAGCUUUAAUAAGGAAUGCCAGGACAGACUGCUUUUUGUUGUUUUAAUUCUAGCUGCUUUGUGGAGAACAGAUUGGAGUCAGAAAAACCACCAAGAAAGGCAGUAGCUACAACCCAACUGAGAAAUGCUGAGAGCCCAGUAACGGCUGUGAGAAUUGGGAAACAGAGCGUUUGAACUCCCCCCCUCUGCUCUUUCCUCGUUUCAGCCAGGCUCAGAGGGAAUAGGGGCCAACAUUAUUGUCAAGUCAAACACACCUGACAGAUGCUGCUGCCCAGGCCAAGCCUCCCUAGAAAUGACUUAUCUGCGCCUCUGCUCUAUCGGCUCAGUGGUGGUGUAAUCGCAGAUGGCCAGACUGACCAUGGAAGAAAAGAGAAGAGAGAAGAGAGCACACUUCGUCUGGAAGAGUCAACAGUCUAAUAUUUGUGUGACCUUCCCUCCACAUAAGCCUUGGCUGUGGCCUGCUGCACUUUCCAGCUAAUAAAGAGCCAGCUGCUGUGGAAAUGGCUUGUUCUAACUGUCUUGGGUUCUACCUGCCGCCCUGCCCAUCAACUGCUUCCAGUCAACUGCCACUAACUCAGAACUACCUCUGGGUCCCUGCCCUCCACACUGGAUCAGCCCUCAGCUCCACCAUUGUCUGUGCUUUGCUUCUCAGCCUCCUUUCUGCUCCACUCCAGAACCAGCCUGCUUUCUGAGAGUUUCUCAACGAUGCCAAACGCUGAUGCUUGUGGCAGUCACAGAUUCUCAAGACUUUGGAUGACACACUUAAACAUUGUGUCAAAAGCUCAGCAUCACACAAAACCUGAUUCUUAAAAAGAAUAUAGUGCUAUGGAGCAUUGUUCCAGCUAGGGUGACCAUCCAUAAGAUUUCUCUGAAGUCUAGUCCUGGGUCUGCCAUCCCCUUCUGCUUCAACACCAAGGCUGUGACAUCUGAACUCAAUGUCCAGAAAUCUGUCAUUUCAAAUUUUGCACAGUCAGAACUGGGGGCUGCUAUGUAGCCAAGCUCUGUCCUGGAUGUCCACACUUUCCCCUGCCAGGCUCACAUGGACUUCUGUUGGCCAAGGUCCUUUGGCCCAUCUCUGUGUGCAGUCUUCUUCAGAAGACUAUCUCUGGGCUACUGGAGCUGCUUCAACUAGAUGUGCAGAGAGCUGGAGGGACCUGGGAGUUUAUGGCCCCCUGAGCAGCCCAUAGCCACUGGCUGAUCACUGAAGUGCGGGAAAGCCUGCCAUGCAGUGAGGCAGGACCAAGACCGCCAUAUAACUUAGGCCCCAGGGCUCCCCAAUGGAUUAGGGUGAAGCUAAGAAGUCACCUGAAAUCCCACCUGGCUUGGCUCCUUCCUACUUGCUUCUCCUACUCUCUAACCAGCUUCUCCUGGGAAAACUUUCUUAAAAAAUGACUUGCAUACAAAUCUCUGUCUUGGGGUCUGCUUCUGGGGAAUCCCACCUAAGACAAUUCCCAGCAUGAAAAAACAAAAAAUAAAUUACAAUCGCCAACAUCAUGCAUGCAAAAAUAAAUACAGAAAGUAUUUAUUUUAACCAAAAACUAACCUUCAAAAGGGCUUUCCAAAAGUGUUCUUUCUAGCCACCCUCCUCCUCAACUACCAUGCUCAGCCACUGAACUCCUAAACAACACAGGGAAGGCAUAGGGUGAAGCCUUGCAACCCUCACUGUAAUUGGGCAGAUGCAACAUACAAAGAAUGCAAAGGAUGCAUGCAAAGAAUAACAACUACUUUCCUAUUAAAAUCUAACAAAUUGCUAUUUAGAGACCUCAUUUCCCCCAGAUCGAAUGAAUUCUUCAGUCAAUCACAGGUUUGUUCCCAGUUGUGUACUGGUAAACCAGGAUCUUCAGAGAACAGAAAAAGUUCUGCAUUCUAGCAUCUGUUAAUUUCUAUGAUAUAAAUACUUCCAUCACAGCCAACUGCAAACUCCCAAUAUGACGUCACUGAAUGGGGAGCUGGAAAGAGGUGUGCACAAUAGGCUCUCAUGAGCCAGAAGAGCCAGCUCCAGCACGCCACCCUAUCAAUUUUUUUGCAUACUUCCAAAUACACAUCAUCUAUUGUGAGUUACAGGAAGUCUCAAGGUAGGUAUUUUUAAAUAGUCCAUAAAAAUUGGACUCAGGUUAUUUAAUGAAUUGUUAGUUGAGCCUAUAACUAAUCUCUUUGACAUUAACAUUUUUAAUAAACAUUUGAGCAAUAUCCAGAUUCAGAAUAUUGGCUAGAACUAUAAUAUCACCUCUAUUCAUUAGGCUUAUAUUUUCUCAAUAAACUGAUUUUGUUUUUCAUAAGAUAUUAAUGCUUUUGGAAGUCUUACUCUUAUUCCUAUUAAUUCCUAAACUCACCUUUAAAAGUGGAUGAGGAAAUACACAGAGGCAGUCAAUUUCACUGAUGCAUACAUUAAACUGCUAAAGGUAAAUCUAAGAUUCUCAGUAUUGCUAAAAUGAAGAACUUCAUCUGAAAGUAUUUUCUGGACUUAAAUCAAACCCUUGGGGCCUGGUUUGAGCUUCCUUGGCUUUGCCGUCUUCUGAACUAAGCUCAUUGGCAACAUACAAGGACGCACAUAUCAGCUCUACGAAGUGUGUCUAUUUGUCUAUGUUGAAUCAAAGACCUCGUCUGAAAAGAAGAGGCAUGGCUCUGCCUGCCAUAACAAAUCUUUGGCAAAUAAGCUCAGAGAAGGAGCUAAAUCCAAGAUAAUGCAGCAUCUGGGACACAAGAUGAAGUAUCACGGGUGUGCACCCAAGAGGAGAAGGAAGUAGAGUUUGAAAUUCGAAGGAUAUGGAGGUGGUAGGAACGAUUUCAAAACACCUCUAAUUCCAGACAAGAUGUUUCCCAGCUGUGAGCUAGUUACUAGGUAGAUACAGGACCAGAAACACCUUCUAAGACUUAAAAAACCACAUAUCUGUAUAACCCUAUUUUUACUGUAAGCAUGCUACUUUAUCUUCACCAAUGACUGUGAACUAAUUUUAAUAAGGUAAAAAGAAAAGAAAUCCAACCCUCUCUCCUCCGCCCUCCCCCCCCCCCGCCUCACUCUCUCACACACACACACCAGACACACAUACUCAGGUACUGGUGUGCUUCUUUGAAUCAGACUUCUUUAAAUCAAUUAAUUCUCUUCAUUUCUUGAAUGACUUUCCAACAGAAUUAGCAAAUGAUAGAGGCUGUGAAAGGGGUGGGCCCUCCAUUUUAAAUAUGGUGAGAGAACAUCACUGCUCCUGGAAAUGCCCCUGAAAGCGGUCCGUGCUAGAUCCCAGCACAGCAACACGCUCUCUGGGCUGGCAGGACAAUAACUGCCAUAGCCAUGACACUAGCCAGUCCCUUUACUGCUGUCUCAUCUCUACCACAUGACAUCACUGGUUGCUCUAAAAUUGUUUUAAGUGGACAGUUUCUUCCUGAGGUAAUUACCACAAAAUUAUUAGAAUUUAAAAUCAUAAUUAUAGGAAAGCCAAGACAGGUGAUCAAGAAUGGGAAAGAGAGCCUCGUAGUAAGCCUCUGUUUUCGCUAUUUAUACCAAAUAACAGAAAAGGUGAAGUGGUCAUCCUUGUUCCAUUUAAUAUACUUUAGCUUCCAGGUAAUAAGCCUCACAGCCCCAAGGAAAUGGAUCCAUGGAUGAAAUAUCUGGUCCUUUCCUGGCAGCCCUCAUGCGGUCCCACUGCUGGCUGAAUAAGCUGGGAGCACAGUCCCUGGCAUCAGGCCCCAGAGGGCUGAGAAGGAGCCCUGGCCUGAAGCUCAUGCUCACUUCAUAUCCCUCCUUCAAGCUGCAGCCCCCUACGCAGUUCAUCUGUGUGAUGUUGACGCCGGUCUGCCACCUAGAUAGUGGGGUGAAGCUUUCCGGUCUGUCAGCGCACGUCAGCCGGCUCGUGCUUCUUCUAAGUGUGGGAAUGCACCAAACUGCUGGUCUCAGUGGCCAUCUUGUGGGUUUCAUCUAGGAAAAGAAGGUAGAGAGAAAGUGAGGGAGAACUAACUGGAUACAUCAGGGUCACUGAGAAUGCUAAGAAGCUGCUGCUGACAUCCCCUCAACCUAUGGCUGUAAUAAUCCUUACGAUGGCUCAGCAAAGAGGAAAAGUAAAAUGUUUACAAAUUUAAAUGAAACUGGCAAUACCGAUAGGAAUGAGGCAGAAAGCUUUGUUU
RNAcentral lists this long non-coding RNA (6507 nucleotides) under Equus asinus (donkey). RNAcentral describes it as "lncRNA (ENSEASG00005027617.1)". Lineage: Eukaryota; Metazoa; Chordata; Mammalia; Perissodactyla; Equidae. The record is from RNAcentral.